GAUGAACGCUAGCUACAGGCUUAACACAUGCAAGUCGCGGGGCAGCAUGGGGGUUGCUUGCAAUCCCCGAUGGCGACCGGCGCACGGGUGAGUAACGCGUAUCCAACCUGCCCUUCACCACGGGAUAACCCGGCGAAAGUCGGACUAAUACCGUAUGUUGUCCAUUGACGGCAUCCGAUUUGGACGAAAGGCUUGGCGGUGAGGGAUGGGGAUGCGUCCGAUUAGCCAGACGGCGGGGUAACGGCCCACCGUGGCUACGAUCGGUAGGGGUUCUGAGAGGAAGGUCCCCCACACUGGAACUGAGACACGGUCCAGACUCCUACGGGAGGCAGCAGUGAGGAAUAUUGGUCAAUGGGCGUAAGCCUGAACCAGCCAAGUAGCGUGCAGGAUGACGGCCCUAUGGGUUGUAAACUGCUUUUAUGCGGGGAUAAAGUGGCCCACGUGUGGGCUUUAGCAGGUACCGCAUGAAUAAGGACCGGCUAAUUCCGUG
RNAcentral lists this ribosomal RNA (490 nucleotides) under uncultured bacterium. Its description in RNAcentral is "partial 16S ribosomal RNA". It matches the Rfam family "Bacterial small subunit ribosomal RNA", at positions 28 to 507 of the family's 1533-position model. The record is from RNAcentral.